RNAcentral lists this ribosomal RNA (464 nucleotides) under uncultured bacterium. RNAcentral's name for it is "partial 16S ribosomal RNA". It matches the Rfam family "Bacterial small subunit ribosomal RNA", at positions 338 to 795 of the family's 1533-position model. The record is from RNAcentral.
CCUACGGGUGGCAGCAGUAGGGAAUUUUCGUCAAUGGGCGCAAGCCUGAACGAGCGAUGCCGCGUGAGUGAAGAAGGCCUUCGGGUCGUAAAGCUCUGUUGCGGGGGAAAAAAGGCAGCAUCAGGAAAUGGGUGCUGACUGAUGGUGCCCCGCCAGAAAGUCCCGGCUAACUACGUGCCAGCAGCCGCGGUAAUACGGAGGAUGCGAGCGUUAUCCGGAUUUAUUGGGUUUAAAGGGUGCGUAGGCGGAAUGCCAAGUCAGCGGUAAAAUCGCGGGGCUCAACCUCGCUCCGCCGUUGAAACUGGCGUUCUUGAGUGGGCGAGAAGUAGGCGGAAUGCGUGGUGUAGCGGUGAAAUGCAUAGAUAUCACGCAGAACUCCGAUUGCGAAGGCAGCAUACCGGCGCCCAACUGACGCUGAAGCACGAAAGCGUGGGUAUCGAACAGGAUUAGAUACCCCAGUAGUC